AAUAAUAUAAUUCAGUGUCUAAUAAUACUAGCCUUAGAGGAAGGCUGGGCGCCUGUAGUCCCAGCUACUCGGGAGGCUGAGGCAGGAGAAUGGCAUGAACCGAGGAGGCGGAGCUUGCAAUGAGCCGAGAUCGCGCCACUGCACUCCAGCCUGGGUGACAGAGCAAGACUCUUGUCUCAAAAAAAAAAAAGCCUUCUAGGUAUAUUAUCUGUUGUGAUUUUACAACAGCCCUAUUUAUGUUCAUGUGUUGCUGUCUUCAUUUUUAUGAGGAAAGAAAUUAAGGUUCAGAGAGGUUAAGUAACUGGCUUAAGUUACUUAUUUAGAAACAGAGAAAACAGGAUCCACAUGUUCCUGUUGAGAAACACAAAUUUUGAUUCUCCUCAGUUGGGCUGCAACACUGCUGUGCUCUCAGGACACCUAGCUGAGCUGGCAGCACAAACCAGUGUGAGGGCACGCUUCACAUUUAGAGCUGGUGCUUACUUCUGCUAGCAGAAUGGAGCAGUGGGAGCUGAGGCAGGAGGAUCUCUUGAACCCGGGAGGCGGAGGUUGCAGUGAGCCGAGACCGCGCCAUUGCAUUCCAGCCUGGGCAACAAGAGCGAAACUUUAUCUCUAAAAAAAAAAGAAAGAAUUAGGAUUACAUAACUGUUAAUAAACACUGAACUGUACACAUAAAAAUGGGUAAGAUGGGGAAUUUUGUUAAUUUUUUUUACCACAGUUUGUUUAAAAAGUAGCUACUAAAUGUAAAGUGGUACAGUAGAAAUACUUGAUUAAUGAAAAAGAACAAAGCUCAGAUGAUGAAAGGUAGGUGUAAACAAAAUAUCAAUUAAAUGUAAGUGGACUAAACACUCCAUUAAAUAC
This 858-nucleotide long non-coding RNA is filed under the name Pan troglodytes (chimpanzee). RNAcentral describes it as "long non-coding RNA NONPTRT000716". The record is from RNAcentral. Lineage: Eukaryota; Metazoa; Chordata; Mammalia; Primates; Hominidae.